CCUACGGGAGGCAGCAGUCGAGAAUCAUUCACAAUGGGGGAAACUCUGAUGGUGCGACGCCGCGUGGGGGAAUGAAGGUCUUCGGAUUGUAAACUCCUGUCAUGUGGGAGCAAAUUAAAAAGAUAGUACCACAUGUGGAAGAGACGGCUAACUCUGUGCCAGCAGCCGCGGUAAUACAGAGGUCUCAAGCGUUGUUCGGAAUCACUGGGCGUAAAGCGUGCGUAGGCUGUUUCGUAAGUCGUGUGUGAAAGGCGCGGGCUCAACCCGCGGACGGCACAUGAUACUGCGAGACUAGAGUAAUGGAGGGGGAGCCGGAAUUCUCGGUGUAGCAGUGAAAUGCGUAGAUAUCGAGAGGAACACUCGUGGCAAAGGCGGGUUCCUGGACAUUAACUGACGCGGAGGCACGAAGGCCAGGGGAGCGAAAGGGAUUAGAUACCCCUGUAGUC
Molecule: ribosomal RNA, 446 nt
Filed under: uncultured bacterium
Lineage: Bacteria
Description: partial 16S ribosomal RNA
Rfam family: Bacterial small subunit ribosomal RNA
Source: RNAcentral